RNAcentral lists this small RNA (202 nucleotides) under Arabidopsis thaliana (thale cress). RNAcentral's name for it is "ATSL021250". Lineage: Eukaryota; Viridiplantae; Streptophyta; Magnoliopsida; Brassicales; Brassicaceae. The record is from RNAcentral.
UAUUUCCGUCAUAUUUUGUGAUUCAAAAUUUUAAAAAUAAACAUAUAUUAACCAAUUGGCAAAAAAUGUGUUAGUUCAACGUCCCGCAUCAACUAAAAUAUUUAGACAAUGAUUAAUAAACAUAUCAUAAAUGGUUUUUUUUACAGGACGGGUUUGGCAUGACGUUAUUUAAUAACAACUGUAAACUAUAAAAUAAAAAUAU